This 30-nucleotide non-coding RNA is filed under the name Rattus norvegicus (Norway rat). The record is from RNAcentral. Lineage: Eukaryota; Metazoa; Chordata; Mammalia; Rodentia; Muridae.
UCAUGCAAUAUUGUAUGGCUAAGGGAGACC